CAAGAAGCUGUUACACUGAAGAAUCGCUUUAUUAAAGGGAUUAAUUCGAUUUACACAUGAUUUUACACAUGGCACGUUCACCACAAGUGAAGACAGAGGUACGUGCCAAACAUGGGUGCCAGCGGCAGCCUUCCUAUUCUCUGAGCAUGUGUG
This is a long non-coding RNA of Xenopus tropicalis (tropical clawed frog), 153 nucleotides long. RefSeq lists it as uncharacterized. The record is from RefSeq and is a predicted model, not a curated record. NCBI's taxonomy places the organism in Eukaryota, Metazoa, Chordata, Amphibia, Anura, Pipidae. The transcript has 3 exons.